UGGGUCGACUCAUUCUUUGCUUGGGUCGACCCAACUACUGUUCAUCCGUGCCAUUUUUGCAGAAGUGUGCCAGAUGCUUUCUUGAUAUGCCGGGGUCGACUCAAUCAACCUUGCUGCAACUUAAGCUUAGAUUCAUCCAUAUAAGCAAUGAAAUGCAUCUUUAUCUUAUUACACUAAUGUACUGAGAGUAACAGACUUAUAAAUGAUGUAUCAAAUUAACUUGUAACAUACUCUUGAUUAUUGUAUUAAUCAUCAAA
This 257-nucleotide long non-coding RNA is filed under the name Phoenix dactylifera (date palm). RNAcentral's name for it is "long non-coding RNA (PDAC_LNC012619)". Lineage: Eukaryota; Viridiplantae; Streptophyta; Magnoliopsida; Arecales; Arecaceae. The record is from RNAcentral.